This 2554-nucleotide ribosomal RNA is filed under the name Escherichia coli 5-366-08_S3_C2. RNAcentral describes it as "bacterial LSU rRNA". It matches the Rfam family "Bacterial large subunit ribosomal RNA", at positions 217 to 2795 of the family's 2925-position model. The record is from RNAcentral. Lineage: Bacteria; Pseudomonadati; Pseudomonadota; Gammaproteobacteria; Enterobacterales; Enterobacteriaceae.
AAAAGAAAUCAACCGAGAUUCCCCCAGUAGCGGCGAGCGAACGGGGAGCAGCCCAGAGCCUGAAUCAGUGUGUGUGUUAGUGGAAGCGUCUGGAAAGGCGCGCGAUACAGGGUGACAGCCCCGUACACAAAAAUGCACAUGCUGUGAGCUCGAUGAGUAGGGCGGGACACGUGGUAUCCUGUCUGAAUAUGGGGGGACCAUCCUCCAAGGCUAAAUACUCCUGACUGACCGAUAGUGAACCAGUACCGUGAGGGAAAGGCGAAAAGAACCCCGGCGAGGGGAGUGAAAAAGAACCUGAAACCGUGUACGUACAAGCAGUGGGAGCACGCUUAGGCGUGUGACUGCGUACCUUUUGUAUAAUGGGUCAGCGACUUAUAUUCUGUAGCAAGGUUAACCGAAUAGGGGAGCCGAAGGGAAACCGAGUCUUAACUGGGCGUUAAGUUGCAGGGUAUAGACCCGAAACCCGGUGAUCUAGCCAUGGGCAGGUUGAAGGUUGGGUAACACUAACUGGAGGACCGAACCGACUAAUGUUGAAAAAUUAGCGGAUGACUUGUGGCUGGGGGUGAAAGGCCAAUCAAACCGGGAGAUAGCUGGUUCUCCCCGAAAGCUAUUUAGGUAGCGCCUCGUGAAUUCAUCUCCGGGGGUAGAGCACUGUUUCGGCAAGGGGGUCAUCCCGACUUACCAACCCGAUGCAAACUGCGAAUACCGGAGAAUGUUAUCACGGGAGACACACGGCGGGUGCUAACGUCCGUCGUGAAGAGGGAAACAACCCAGACCGCCAGCUAAGGUCCCAAAGUCAUGGUUAAGUGGGAAACGAUGUGGGAAGGCCCAGACAGCCAGGAUGUUGGCUUAGAAGCAGCCAUCAUUUAAAGAAAGCGUAAUAGCUCACUGGUCGAGUCGGCCUGCGCGGAAGAUGUAACGGGGCUAAACCAUGCACCGAAGCUGCGGCAGCGACGCUGAUGCGUUGUUGGGUAGGGGAGCGUUCUGUAAGCCUGUGAAGGUGUACUGUGAGGUAUGCUGGAGGUAUCAGAAGUGCGAAUGCUGACAUAAGUAACGAUAAAGCGGGUGAAAAGCCCGCUCGCCGGAAGACCAAGGGUUCCUGUCCAACGUUAAUCGGGGCAGGGUGAGUCGACCCCUAAGGCGAGGCCGAAAGGCGUAGUCGAUGGGAAACAGGUUAAUAUUCCUGUACUUGGUGUUACUGCGAAGGGGGGACGGAGAAGGCUAUGUUGGCCGGGCGACGGUUGUCCCGGUUUAAGCGUGUAGGCUGGUUUUCUAGGCAAAUCCGGAAAAUCAAGGCUGAGGCGUGAUGACGAGGCACUACGGUGCUGAAGCAACAAAUGCCCUGCUUCCAGGAAAAGCCUCUAAGCAUCAGGUAACAUCAAAUCGUACCCCAAACCGACACAGGUGGUCAGGUAGAGAAUACCAAGGCGCUUGAGAGAACUCGGGUGAAGGAACUAGGCAAAAUGGUGCCGUAACUUCGGGAGAAGGCACGCUGAUAUGUAGGUGAAGCGACUUGCUCGUGGAGCUGAAAUCAGUCGAAGAUACCAGCUGGCUGCAACUGUUUAUUAAAAACACAGCACUGUGCAAACACGAAAGUGGACGUAUACGGUGUGACGCCUGCCCGGUGCCGGAAGGUUAAUUGAUGGGGUCAGCGCAAGCGAAGCUCUUGAUCGAAGCCCCGGUAAACGGCGGCCGUAACUAUAACGGUCCUAAGGUAGCGAAAUUCCUUGUCGGGUAAGUUCCGACCUGCACGAAUGGCGUAAUGAUGGCCAGGCUGUCUCCACCCGAGACUCAGUGAAAUUGAACUCGCUGUGAAGAUGCAGUGUACCCGCGGCAAGACGGAAAGACCCCGUGAACCUUUACUAUAGCUUGACACUGAACAUUGAGCCUUGAUGUGUAGGAUAGGUGGGAGGCUUUGAAGUGUGGACGCCAGUCUGCAUGGAGCCGACCUUGAAAUACCACCCUUUAAUGUUUGAUGUUCUAACGUUGACCCGUAAUCCGGGUUGCGGACAGUGUCUGGUGGGUAGUUUGACUGGGGCGGUCUCCUCCUAAAGAGUAACGGAGGAGCACGAAGGUUGGCUAAUCCUGGUCGGACAUCAGGAGGUUAGUGCAAUGGCAUAAGCCAGCUUGACUGCGAGCGUGACGGCGCGAGCAGGUGCGAAAGCAGGUCAUAGUGAUCCGGUGGUUCUGAAUGGAAGGGCCAUCGCUCAACGGAUAAAAGGUACUCCGGGGAUAACAGGCUGAUACCGCCCAAGAGUUCAUAUCGACGGCGGUGUUUGGCACCUCGAUGUCGGCUCAUCACAUCCUGGGGCUGAAGUAGGUCCCAAGGGUAUGGCUGUUCGCCAUUUAAAGUGGUACGCGAGCUGGGUUUAGAACGUCGUGAGACAGUUCGGUCCCUAUCUGCCGUGGGCGCUGGAGAACUGAGGGGGGCUGCUCCUAGUACGAGAGGACCGGAGUGGACGCAUCACUGGUGUUCGGGUUGUCAUGCCAAUGGCACUGCCCGGUAGCUAAAUGCGGAAGAGAUAAGUGCUGAAAGCAUCUAAGCACGAAACUU